UCCAAAGGUCCUAACGAUGAAGCCCUUCGGGGUGGAUUACUGGCGAACGGGUGAGUAACACGUGGGCAAUCUGCCCUGCACUCUGGGACAAGCCCUGGAAACGGGGUCUAAUACCGGAUAUGACCGUCUUGGGCAUCCUUGAUGGUGUAAAGCUCCGGCGGUGCAGGAUGAGCCCGCGGCCUAUCAGCUUGUUGGUGAGGUAAUGGCUCACCAAGGCGACGACGGGUAGCCGGCCUGAGAGGGCGACCGGCCACACUGGGACUGAGACACGGCCCAGACUCCUACGGGAGGCAGCAGUGGGGAAUAUUGCACAAUGGGCGAAAGCCUGAUGCAGCGACGCCGCGUGAGGGAUGACGGCCUUCGGGUUGUAAACCUCUUUCAGCAGGGAAGAAGCGAGAGUGACGGUACCUGCAGAAGAAGCGCCGGCUAACUACGUGCCAGCAGCCGCGGUAAUACGUAGGGCGCAAGCGUUGUCCGGAAUUAUUGGGCGUAAAGAGCUCGUAGGCGGCUUGUCACGUCGGUUGUGAAAGCCCGGGGCUUAACCCCGGGUCUGCAGUCGAUACGGGCAGGCUAGAGUUCGGUAGGGGAGAUCGGAAUUCCUGGUGUAGCGGUGAAAUGCGCAGAUAUCAGGAGGAACACCGGUGGCGAAGCGGAUCUCUGGGCCGAUACUGACGCUAGGAGCGAAAGCGUGGGGAGCGAACAGGAUUAGAUACCCUGGUAGUCCACGCCGUAAACGGUGGGCACUAGGUGUGGGCAACAUUCCACGUUGUCCGUGCCGCAGCUAACGCAUUAAGUGCCCC
Molecule: ribosomal RNA, 800 nt
Filed under: Streptomyces sp. SS5
Lineage: Bacteria; Bacillati; Actinomycetota; Actinomycetes; Kitasatosporales; Streptomycetaceae
Description: bacterial SSU rRNA
Rfam family: Bacterial small subunit ribosomal RNA
Source: RNAcentral